CCCUGUAUCGAAAGGUGAUCACGGCGUCUUGUAGCCUGGUCAUUUAAUAAAUACAGGAACAUGAACCUGCGAGCCUUUCCCGUGUUUGAAGGAUUAACAGUUCCUGUCAGACCCUGGCGCUCUCAGACA
RNAcentral lists this small nucleolar RNA (129 nucleotides) under Amphiprion percula (orange clownfish). Its description in RNAcentral is "Small nucleolar RNA SNORA71 (ENSAPEG00000002978.1)". It matches the Rfam family "Small nucleolar RNA SNORA71". Rfam says of the family: The members of this family belong to the H/ACA class of snoRNAs which bind a number of proteins (including dyskerin, Gar1p and Nop10p) to form snoRNP complexes. The record is from Rfam by way of RNAcentral. Lineage: Eukaryota; Metazoa; Chordata; Actinopteri; Pomacentridae.